GAUGAAGAACGUAGCGAAAUGCGAUAAGUAGUGUGAAUUGCAGAAUUCAGUGAAUCAUCGAAUCUUUGAACGCACAUUGCGCCCCUUGGUAUUCCAUGGGGCAUGCCUGUUCGAGCGUCAUUUGUACCUUCAAGCUUUGCUUGGUGUUGGGUGUUUGUCUCGCCUUUGCGUGUAGACUCGCCUUAAAAUAAUUGGCAGCCGGCGUAUUGAUUUCGGAGCGCAGUACAUCUCGCGCUUUGCACUCAUAACGACAGCGUCCAAAAGUACAUUUUACACUCUUGACCUCGGAUCAGGUAGGGAUACCCGCUGAACUUAAGCAUACAAUAAGCGGAGGA
RNAcentral lists this unclassified non-coding RNA (335 nucleotides) under soil metagenome. RNAcentral describes it as "partial contains 5.8S ribosomal RNA, internal transcribed spacer 2, and large subunit ribosomal RNA". The stretch from base 1 to 120 matches the Rfam family "5.8S ribosomal RNA", at positions 35 to 154 of the family's 154-position model. The record is from RNAcentral.